GAUAAACGCUGGCGGCGUGCUUAACACAUGCAAGUCGAACGAAGUUUUUCCUUCGGGAGACACUUAGUGGCGGACGGGUGCGUAACGCGUGGGUAACCUGCCCUGUACAGGGGGACAACAGCUGGAAGCGGCUGCUAAUACCGCAUAAGCACUUAGCACUGCAUGGUGCAUAGGGAAAAGGAGCAAUCCGGUACAGGAUGGACCCGCGUCUGAUUAGCCAGUUGGCAGGGUAACGGCCUACCAAAGCGACGAUCAGUAGCCGAUCUGAGAGGAUGUACGGCCACAUUGGGACUGAGACACGGCCCAGACUCCUACGGGAGGCAGCAGUGGGGAAUAUUGCACAAUGGAGGAAACUCUGAUGCAGCGACGCCGCGUGAGUGAAGAAGUAUUUCGGUAUGUAAAGCUCUAUCAGCAGGGAAGAAAAUGACGGUACCUGACUAAGAAGCACCGGCUAAAUACGUG
This 462-nucleotide ribosomal RNA is filed under the name uncultured bacterium. Its description in RNAcentral is "partial 16S ribosomal RNA". It matches the Rfam family "Bacterial small subunit ribosomal RNA", at positions 28 to 507 of the family's 1533-position model. The record is from RNAcentral.